Molecule: ribosomal RNA, 451 nt
Filed under: Cutibacterium acnes
Lineage: Bacteria; Bacillati; Actinomycetota; Actinomycetes; Propionibacteriales; Propionibacteriaceae
Description: bacterial SSU rRNA
Rfam family: Bacterial small subunit ribosomal RNA
Source: RNAcentral
GACGAACGCUGGCGGCGUGUUUAACACAUGCAAGUCGAACGGAAAGGCCCUGCUUUUGUGGGGUGCUCGAGUGGCGAACGGGUGAGUAACACGUGAGUAACCUGCCCUUGACUUUGGGAUAACUUCAGGAAACUGGGGCUAAUACCGGAUAGGAGCUCCUGCUGCAUGGUGGGGGUUGGAAAGUUUCGGCGGUUGGGGAUGGACUCGCGGCUUAUCAGCUUGUUGGUGGGGUAGUGGCUUACCAAGGCUUUGACGGGUAGCCGGCCUGAGAGGGUGACCGGCCACAUUGGGACUGAGAUACGGCCCAGACUCCUACGGGAGGCAGCAGUGGGGAAUAUUGCACAAUGGGCGGAAGCCUGAUGCAGCAACGCCGCGUGCGGGAUGACGGCCUUCGGGUUGUAAACCGCUUUCGCCUGUGACGAAGCGUGAGUGACGGUAAUGGUAAAGAAGC